This 279-nucleotide unclassified non-coding RNA is filed under the name plant metagenome. Its description in RNAcentral is "partial contains small subunit ribosomal RNA, internal transcribed spacer 1, and 5.8S ribosomal RNA". The record is from RNAcentral.
UUUCCGUAGGUGAACCUGCGGAGGGAUCAUUAUCGUACAAAAUGUUAAGAACAUACUGUGGCUGUCACUGCCUCACAAGUCGUGCACGCCCGAGUGUGUCCGCUUGCAUAAUACUCCAUCGCAGCCAUUGUGCAUCACCGCGUUGGCACCCUGCGGGAUCGUCUCGGAGUAGAACUCGAGACAUGACAAAAACCCCCCUUUUAAAAGUGUAGAAUGACCACAUUUAUGCAAUCAAUACAACUUUCAACAACGGAUCUCUUGGCUCUCGCAUCGAGGAAA